GAUGAACGCUGGCGGCGUGCUUAACACAUGCAAGUCGAACGGGAAACAUUUUAUUGAAGCUUCGGCAGAUUUAGCUUGUUUCUAGUGGCGGACGGGUGAGUAACGCGUGGGUAACCUGCCUCACACUGGGGGAGUAACAGUCAGAAAUAGGCUGCUAAUACCGCAUAAGCGCACGGGACCGGCAUGGUUUGUGUGAAAACUACCGGUGGUGUGAGAUGGACCCGCGUUGGAUUAGCCAGUUGGCAGGGUAACGGCCUACCAAAGACGACGAUCCAUAGCCGGCCUGAGAGGGUGAACGGCCACAUUGGGACUGAGACACGGCCCAG
RNAcentral lists this ribosomal RNA (326 nucleotides) under uncultured bacterium. Its description in RNAcentral is "bacterial SSU rRNA". It matches the Rfam family "Bacterial small subunit ribosomal RNA", at positions 28 to 334 of the family's 1533-position model. The record is from RNAcentral.